RNAcentral lists this ribosomal RNA (450 nucleotides) under uncultured bacterium. RNAcentral's name for it is "partial 16S ribosomal RNA". It matches the Rfam family "Bacterial small subunit ribosomal RNA", at positions 354 to 796 of the family's 1533-position model. The record is from RNAcentral.
GUGGGGAAUUUUGGACAAUGGGCGCAAGCCUGAUCCAGCAAUGCCGCGUGCAGGAAGAAGGCCUUCGGGUUGUAAACUGCUUUUGUACGGAACGAAACGGUCCUGGUUAAUACCUGGGGCUAAUGACGGUACCGUAAGAAUAAGCACCGGCUAACUACGUGCCAGCAGCCGCGGUAAUACGUAGGGUGCAAGCGUUAAUCGGAAUUACUGGGCGUAAAGCGUGCGCAGGCGGUUUUGUAAGACAGGCGUGAAAUCCCCGGGCUCAACCUGGGAAUUGCGCUUGUGACUGCAAGGCUGAAGUGCGGCAGAGGGGGAUGGAAUUCCGCGUGUAGCAGUGAAAUGCGUAGAUAUGCGGAGGAACACCGAUGGCGAAGGCAAUCCCCUGGGCCUGCACUGACGCUCAUGCACGAAAGCGUGGGGAGCAAACAGGAUUAGAUACCCCGGUAGUCC